GAACGUAUGACUUAGUGGUAGAGCUCUUGAACGGUUUUCAGAAGGCGCUGGUUCGAGUCCCGCUACGUUCA
Molecule: transfer RNA, 71 nt
Filed under: Heliconius melpomene (postman butterfly)
Lineage: Eukaryota; Metazoa; Arthropoda; Insecta; Lepidoptera; Nymphalidae
Description: tRNA HMEL005280
Rfam family: tRNA
About the family: Transfer RNA (tRNA) molecules are approximately 80 nucleotides in length.
Source: RNAcentral